Small nuclear RNA from Oryctolagus cuniculus (rabbit), 104 nucleotides. Lineage: Eukaryota; Metazoa; Chordata; Mammalia; Lagomorpha; Leporidae. The record is from Ensembl.
GUGCUCGCAUUGGCAGCACAUACACAAAAAUUGGAAUGGUACAGAGAUUAGCAUGACCCAUGCACAAGGAUGACAUGCAAAUUCAUGAAGCAUCUCAUAUUGGG